GACGAACGCUGGCGGCGUGCCUAAUACAUGCAAGUGGGACGCAAGGAAACACACUGUGCUUGCACACCGUGUUUUCUUGAGUCGCGAACGGGUGAGUAACGCGUAGGUAACCUGCCUAUUAGCGGGGGAUAACUAUUGGACACGAUAGCUAAUACCGCAUAAUAUUAAUUAUUGCAUGAUAAUUGAUUGAAAGUUGCAAGCGCAUCACUAGUAGAUGGACCUGCGUUGUAUUAGCUAGUUGGUAAGGUAAGAGCUUACCAAGGGGACGAUACAUAGCCGACCUGAGAGGGGGAUCGGCCACACUGGGACUGGAGCACGGCCCAGAAUCCUACGGGAGGCAGCAGGAGGGGAUCUUCGGCAAUGGACGAAAGGCUGACCGAGCAACGCCGCGUGAGUGAAGAAGGUUUUCGGAUCGUAAAGCUCUGUUGUAAGUCAAGAACGUGUGUGAGAGUGGAAAGUUCACACAGUGACGGUAGCUUACCAGAAAGGGACGGCUAACUACGUG
RNAcentral lists this ribosomal RNA (505 nucleotides) under uncultured bacterium. Its description in RNAcentral is "partial 16S ribosomal RNA". It matches the Rfam family "Bacterial small subunit ribosomal RNA", at positions 28 to 507 of the family's 1533-position model. The record is from RNAcentral.